Molecule: long non-coding RNA, 342 nt
Organism: Atta colombica
Lineage: Eukaryota; Metazoa; Arthropoda; Insecta; Hymenoptera; Formicidae
Exons: 3
Source: RefSeq, a predicted model, not a curated record
UGAGAGAACAUUUGAAAAGAUGGAAAAGAUGUUGGUCCAGAAAUUAUCGUGCGCCGUCAAGGAAUGCAAUAAAAAUAUUGUGGAAAAUCAACACUUAUUUCCAUUUCCAAUGAAACAUAACAGAUGGUUGCAAUGGACACGUGCAUGUGGAAGAUCGGAUUUGGAAGAAAUGGGUUUAGAAUACCCAUAAUCGCAAUUAUCGAGUAUGCCACUUAUAUUUUGAAGAAAAGUGGUACAAUAUCCAUACUACAGCUUAUCUUCGUAAAGAUGCACUACCAACAAAGUUUUUUAAAAGAAAUGACUUACGGCCAAAAUCAUUCUCGUCUAAAGUGCAGAUGCCAA